CUAAGCUUUUCCUUGAAGAAAUUUCUCGAGAUAUUCAGAAGGCAGAACCAGAAUGGAGAAUCAUUUUACUAAGAUACUUCAAUCCUGUAGGAGCACAUGAGAGUGGUAAACUUGGUGAAGAUCCCAAGGGUAUCCCAAACAAUCUCAUGCCUUACAUACAACAAGUGGCUGUUGGCAGAUUGCCUGAACUCAAUGUAUAUGGGNNNNNNNNNAAGGAUGGUAGUGCGAUCCGAGACUACAUCCAUGUUAUGGACUUAGCAGAUGGCCACAUUGCUGCUCUUCGGAAGCUUUUUACAACAGAGAAAAUAGGUUGUGUAGCCUACAACUUGGGUACAGGACGUGGAACAUCAGUGCUUGAAAUGGUUGCUGCAUUUGAAAAAGCUUCUGGCAAGAAAAUUCCUAUCAAGUUGUGUCCAAGAAGGCCUGGAGAUGCUACAGCUGUUUAUGCUUCCACAGAUAAAGCUGCCAAAGAACUAAAUUGGAGGGCUAAAUAUGGCAUUGAGGAGAUGUGCAGAGACCAAUGGAAAUGGGCUAGCAACAAUCCAU
This 546-nucleotide unclassified non-coding RNA is filed under the name Hevea brasiliensis (rubber tree). The record is from RNAcentral. Lineage: Eukaryota; Viridiplantae; Streptophyta; Magnoliopsida; Malpighiales; Euphorbiaceae.